This 443-nucleotide ribosomal RNA is filed under the name uncultured bacterium. RNAcentral describes it as "partial 16S ribosomal RNA". It matches the Rfam family "Bacterial small subunit ribosomal RNA", at positions 338 to 795 of the family's 1533-position model. The record is from RNAcentral.
CCUACGGGUGUCAGCAGUGGGGCAUAUUGGACAAUGAGGGGAACCCUGAUCCAGCGACGCCGCGUGAGUGACGCAGUAUUUCGGUAUGUAAAGCUCUAUCAGCAGGGAAGAAAGAAAUGACGGUACCUGACUAAGAAGCCACGGCUAACUACGUGCCAGCAGCCGCGGUAAUACGGAGGGGGCAAGCGUUAUCCGGAUUUACUGGGUGUAAAGGGAGCGUAGACGGCGAUGCAAGUCUGAAGUGAAAGGCGGGGGCCCAACCCGCGGACGGCAUUGGAAACUGUAUGGCUGGAGUGCAGGAGAGGUAAGUGGAAGUCCUGGUGUAGCGGUGAAAUGCGUAGAUAUUAGGAGGAACACCAGUGGCGAAGGCGGCUUACUGGACUGUAACUGACGUUGAGGCUCGAAAGCGUGGGGAGCAAACAGGAUUAGAUACCCCAGUAGUC